RNAcentral lists this long non-coding RNA (7456 nucleotides) under Anthonomus grandis grandis. RNAcentral's name for it is "uncharacterized LOC126735224". The record is from RNAcentral. Lineage: Eukaryota; Metazoa; Arthropoda; Insecta; Coleoptera; Curculionidae.
GAUGUCUUAACUGUUAAUGUAUAUGAGACAUUAAUAUUAAAUAAAUUAAAACUAAUACUAAGAAAUGUGAUGCUUCUACUCUAAAAAAAUAUCAAAAAAUUGAUAUAAAUAUUUAUUGUUUAUUAUUGUUUGUAUAGCUUCCCUUUGACUUUGACAUAUCGAGUUUAUUAUCGAUCUCGGGAGACCGCUAAUAAACGCUUAAAGCGCCUUAUACGGUGACGUCGUGACUUAAUCGCUCAAAUCAGAUGUCUUAAAGACGCUUAUAGCCGCUUACUCGCUAAAAUAUGGCUAAAGAAACAAAAUAUUGUUUAUUUAUUAAAAAAAAAAAUGCGGAUCUGGACUUGAGCUCAAAGCAAAUCAAAGAAUUUAAGUUAAUUCCUUUUUCUAGGUCAAACUGAAGCAAUUCGCAAAAUUUACUUGGAUCCGUUGGUCUCAAAAUUUUGGGAAAUAUUCUUUGUGAGGGACUGCCUGACGGGCAAGUAACAACAUUGGCGAAAAAAUAUCCAGUGCCUGUUAACUGUCCAUUUAAGAUGCCAGAACGAAAAUUAAAUUGAAUAUUAAUGAUCUGCCAUACAGAGGGACCACAACAUUUUGAAAAACCAGUUGCAACUAAGCGCAGGGGAAAAAAUCUGGAACUGCUUGGUUAAGUAACUCAGGUAGAAUUUUGUGCAAUCUUUUCCAUGGCCAAUCUGUCCAUAGGAAAACUUCCAUUUUGCAAUUGCAAUGGGGGGUAUGACCAAAAAAUUAAAAGAAAAUUUUAAAUAGAUUCUACAGGAGCCCCCAAAUUAGCAAGUUGCUGUUUGGGGCUAACCUCUCCAAAUGUCUGGAGCAAGCAAAGACCUUGGAGAAAAAUAGCUCUGUUCUUGUCGAAACGAAGAAUUUAAACUUCAAGAGCCCACCUCCUCGGAAGAUGGUUUCGAAACCGAUCAUCUCCGGCCAAAGGGUCCAGCCUCGGUGGGGUGGGCACUCAAAUGCUCAACCAAAAGACAGACAGCAGAGGAGCAAGAGCUGGUCAGAUCCAAAGAAAAAGCAGAGCCAGAAGGAGAACCGGAAAAAACAAUGGUAAGUAAAUUUGCUGGUCAACUUGCCAUGUUUAAAAAUAAAUGCACACCUUACUGUAAUGAUAAACAUAUUUUAUCCUGAUUGGAGGGGUAUAAGAUCCCCUUUUUAUCCAAAGUGGUCCAAAAAACUCCUCCAAAAGAGAGGAUUUGGUCUCUUAAAGAGAAAACUGGUCUGAAGUGGGCUAUAGAUCACCUCUUAAAUUUAACAUUGGUGCAGUGCAGCAGUGCACACUCUUAUGAAAUCAUUUUCUCAAAUAUUUUUCUACGCCCUAAACCAGACGGUUCAAAUAGAUUUAUUCUAAAAUUAAAAAACCUAAAUACACUUGUAAAAACCAAACUAGAAUCAACCGAAAUCAACCGAAAGUAGAAUUUUAAGGUGGAGGAUAGAGAGCUUGCAAUAAAUUUAAUAUAAAAAAAUUGUUAUAUGUCCACUAUUGACCUAAAAGAGACUCAUUUCCUGAUACCUAUUAGUAAGAGUCAUCAGAAAUGUUAGGAUUUUAUUUUGAAUUGGUUUUACGAGUUUACCUGCAUGCCCUUCGGCUUGUGUUCAGCCCCCUGGGUAUUUACAAAACUGCUUAAAUCAGUAAUGGCUCAUCUUAGAAAGCGAGGGUAUAUUUUGCCAAAAAAUAUCUCUUUUGUAAUAUUCUUUUACGUAUAGAUAAGACUACUGCAAUUUCCUACAUGAAUCGAAUGGGGGGGAAUUCAAUAUAAAAAAUUAAAUAAACUUGCUAGAGAAAUUUGACAGUGGUGUGAACAUUGCAAUAUAAUUAUAUUUGCCUCCUAUAACAGUUCCCAAGAAAACAAAGAGCCAGAUUAUCAGUCGAGGGUAGGUCGAGCUGAGGUAGAAUGGUCUCUUAACCCAAAAGCCUUCUUCCAAAUUUCAAAUAAAUUUGGUUUAUCGGAUUUAGAUUUAUUUGCUAGCCGUAAUAACAAUAAAUGCUCCAAGUUUGCCUCUUGGUUUAAGGACCCAGAGGCAUUUUUGGUAGACGCCUUUACAGUUUUUUGGGGAGAUCACUUCUUCUAUGCCUUUCCAAAUUCCUAUGACAAAAAAUGCUCGAGGCAUUUUUGUGGCACCCUAUUGGCCUACUCAAGCAUGGUUACCUAAAUUCAAGGAAAUGCUGGACUCAGAAAUGCUAAUUUUUAUAAUGAAAGAAGAUCUUCUCCUUUCUAUUGAUAGAUCCCCUCAUCCUCAGUGGGGGCAGCUUUCAUUGGUGAUUGGGAUGUUAUGCAAGAAGCCUAUCUCCGCAGGGGAGUGCUCCCUGAUGUCAUAAAAAUAAUUUUAUCUUCGAUCACCAAAUCAACAAACAAUACUACUCUGCCUUAAAGUUAAGGUGGCAAUUCUGCGGGGAUGCUUAUAUUUGCAUGUAUAGUUAUUCUCUACUAGAAUUGUUACAGUUUUUACUAAGUGCUUUGAUGAAGGAAAAUGUAUGGUUCCUUAAAUAAUAUUAGAGCAGCUAUUAACUUAAUUGUUCAUCCUAAUUUGACGGCAGAUAAUCGAAUUAAGAGAUUUUUCAAAGGUGCUUUAAAUUCACAACCGUUGGAGCCCAAAUACUCUUACACAAAGUUGGCAUUAGUAUUCUGUUAACACAUUAUUUAGAAAUAACCCAAUCUCAUCGGGGAAUAUUUCAACACUCUUUAAAAAAAAACACAUUAAAAAAAACCCUAUAAGCCAGCUUAAACCUUGAGCCGUUGCAUUAAAACAGUAAUGAACAAGAGUGGGAUUGAUACUAACUAAAAAAUAUAGGACAACAUUUGAGAAUGCAGUUACAAAUGUAUAAAUAUUAAAAUUAUGUUUAAAACAUUAUGUCGUUGAAUAAUGUAAAACUAGGUUGUAAGAAAGUUAUGUUUUGUUAUUUUGAUUAAAAUAAUAUAUUAUUAUUCAUAUUAAAAUAUAAGAAUUUUAAUUAUAAAAACUUAAGCAUAUGCUGUUGCCUGCAACUAAUAGGGUCUUUGAACAACUACAUUUGUUUAUGAUCUGAGGAAAAAGGUGGGAAUAUAAUUAACAUAUCAAACGAACUUACCUGUAAGUGAAGUUCGAUAUUAUUAUUAUAUGAACCACCUUUUUCCUCAAGAUCAUAUCCCUCCCUUACAGGCAAAACGGCCAACCCUGUAUGUUGAGUCUUUAGUUGCAGACAUCUACUUUGAAGAAAUGAUUUUAGUAGGUAUGGUACGGGUGGCGCUAACAGCGCCACCUACGUAAAAAAAAACGAGGACUUUAAAACUUGUGGCCUUUAGCCAAGUAGCAGGGACUACAUUUGUUUAUGAUCUGAGGAAAAAGGUGGUUCAUAUAAUUAAUAUCGAACUUCACUUACAGGUAAGUUCGUUUGAUAUGUUAAAAAUAUCUCGAGAUAUCUUAAAAAGUAAACUGUUUAGAUAUAGGACAUGUUAAACAAGAAUUAUGUCUGGAACUGUGUCUCAUUUGCCUCCCACAAAAAUUAUUUAAUUUGGUCAUAAUGGCCUAUGUUUCCAGAUAAUUUUGCAUUCCAAAUUCUCUGGAAAUGUUCUUUAAGUUCGUCGAUUUGCUUUAUUUAUGUGUGAACUUCACAUUUUCAAAUAUUUUAUGCACCUUGUAUGAAACAAUUAUGAACGGUAAAUAUUUACUGUAGUUUAGAUUGGACUCAUGACUCAUUAAAUUAAAAUUUUGUUGGAAAAAUCCUAUCGUACAACAUUGAUCUUUCUUGGACAGAAUUUGUUGCGAUUGAGGGCAGGAAAUCAGGAAAAAAGGCACUGAAAAACGAAUGAUCUUCCUUCACUAUAAAAAACGUCAAUUGACGGUUUGCUAUGGCGAAGAAAGAUGCAAAAUGUAAUGCAAUUACACAAUGAUCUGAAUAUAAUUUAUAAAUUUAUAUUUAUUUCCCUUAAGCUUCAAAACUUCUAACUUACCCUUCUACCAUCACAAGUCAUAAGAAUUCUAUCAGAUGCCUCAAUUGGAACUCCGUCCUUGGUCCAGUCGACUGUAGGAAUGGGAUUUCCAGUGAAUGGAGCCUCUAGCACCAGCUCCAAGCCUUCAUCGGUGGAUACGUCCUUAAGUUUAUGCAAAAAUAUUGGCCUCUCUUCUGGUUCACCCUCUUUUACUGAUGACUGUACGGUUAGCGGUGCCGAGGUGUCUAUUUCCCCUGCAUCGUUUGAGGCAACUGCUUUGUAGACUAGAGCAUCUCGCAUUUGGUUACAGGCGUCGAUUACUAGGGUGGACGUACCUACAGAAUAUUUAAAGUUUGAAUGUGAAUAGGAGGAAGUAGAAGGAGGGAAAGAAAUAAGAAAAAAUAGAAUAAUAAAAAAGAACAAGCUGCACAUACAGGGCCAGACUACUACUGGAAUGCCACAGCAGGCUCAAUGACCGAGCAACUCAGAAUCAGAUGACUCUGAUCUGGGUACCAGGAUAUGAGGGGCUCACCGGGAAUGAGAUGGCGGAGAUCUACGCAAAAAAGGGGCUGAGAAAAACUUUAUUGGACCCAUCCAAUGUUUUGAGUUCAACAAAGGUUGCCUUACAGAAGAGAUCGCGAAAUCGGCAUCCUCCAGGAUGAUCCGACAUUGAAGUGACACCAGUGGAUUGAUUCACUCUAAAAAGUCCCCAACCUUCGACACUGAGAGGACAAAUCUAGCUCUAAGACUGGACAGGAAAAACCUAAUGGAUGGUCACCAGCCAUUACAACUGAAAGGCCACCUAUACAGAAUGGAUUUAUCCGAUACAGAUAUCUGCAGAUUCUGCGGUAAGGUAGAAAUAGUCCGAUUUAUAUAACUUUUACAUUAAAUUAAUUCUGGGACUCUUCUUAACAUCUCUAUGAUUUUUUUAUUCAAAUUCUCGUAAAUAACGUCCCACUAACAUAAAACUAGAAAAUUGUUUUAGGUUCUGUGGCCUAUAACUUGUAUUCCAAUAGUCCGAUUUAUAUAACUUUGCUUUAGAUAAAUUCUGGUACUCUUCUUAACAUCUUUGUGAAAUAUCAUUGAAAUCUCUGAAAUAACGAUUUUUUUAUUCAAAUUCUUGUAGGUAACGUCCCAGUAACGUAAAACUACAAAAAAUGUUUCGAGUUCUGCGGUACAUAACUUGUAUUCUAAUAGUCCAAUUUACAUACUUUCUGCUUUAAUUUAAUUCUGAGACUCUUCUUAGUAUUUGUAUGAAAUUUCAUUCAUAUCUCCGAAAUAAUGAUUUUUUUAUUCAAAUUCUUGUAUACGUGACGUCCCAGCAAAAAAAAACUAAUUAAAUUAUUUUAGGUGUUCUAGUCCAUAAGUGUGCCCACAGAGUGGACGCGAGAUUCUCGCUUACCGGUGACUCGCGUCAUCUCGCGUUUAUCGCUUUAAGAAUUAUUUCGAAUGUUUAUAUGAACGUAUACACAGUUAAAACCGGUUAAAGCAGGUCCGCUCAGAUAACCUGCUAGCCAGCGUUUAAAGUAAUAAAAAUUUAGUUUAUUUCCGCGCUUGACGUACGCGUGUCCACGUGUGUUGCCAUGGAUAAGGAACUACUUAUUGCUGCGGUUUUUGAAAGGACAGCUAUUUGGAACAAGAGGGAUAAAUUACAUUGCAAUCGCAAUGUGAUUGACAAAUACUGGAAAGAAAUAAGCGCUGAAAUAAAACAAGAUGAGUCCAAGAUCAGAAAGCAAUGGAAAUAUUUGCGGGACCAAUUUUCUGUUGAAUUGGGAAAAUACCCUCCACCAAGAUCUGGAGACGCUGCUGAAGAUGUGCCCACAUCCAAGUGGCCAUAUUUCGAACAACUUCUUUUCCUAAAGGACGUUAUCAAGCCGAGGGUAACCAGUGGAAAUUUGUCGAGCACGCAGUCAACGCAGCAGACAGAAUAGACACAGGAGACAGAACAAAAUCAAUCUUAGCGACGAGAAUAGCGAUAAAGAGGAAUCUUCUCAAGCUAGUCAAAGUUGAGUGAUACCACCUACUCGUAUUUUAGGGCAAACUAAUCCUAUUUUGGCACCUAGUACAUCACAGAGAAAAAAAAGAACUGCUACUGAUGCAUAUCAGGAAUAAAUUUUGGAAAUAGAAAAACGCAAAGUCAAGUAUCUGGAAAAUAAAGCCAAAAAAAGUUGCACUGAUCAAGAUGACGAGCAUCUGUCAUUUUUGAAAAGUUUGCUUCCACAUGUAAGCAUGUAAGGAAAAUACCUGAAAACAGAGUACUUAUUAUCUUUUCGUUGCCGCGUGCAAGAAUUAGUGGAUCAAUAUUCCUACCAACAUAACACUUUCCUUGUUCCUCUUUCAUUAUAUUCUACAUCGUCCCAUUCUAGUUGGCAUUCUUCUGGUGAUCCUAACUAUCAUACCCUACAUGAAAACACCCACUCUUCCAUUCCCUUAAACCCAUCAAUCACGUUCCAAAGGCUUUCUGCUAAUGUUCCUACACCUAUUUAUAAUAACCAGGAGGAAAACUCAACUUAUAAUCCUUAUUUCCAUUAACAAAUAACAGUAUUCCUAUAGGGCGUUAAGCUUAUAUUUGUUUAAACAAAAGUAAUAAAACAAUUUUAUAACCUAAAAAUAAGUUUGUUUUAUAUUGGAAAUGUAUACUACUAUCUUCCAUUUAUACCACUAAAUACCUACCAUUUAAACUAAAUAUGACGAAAAAUAUACUAUUAAAAGUAAUUUAAAUUUUUUAACAAAACUUACCUUAGGGUUAUAACAAGUCUUUCUUCUGUUAAAAUAGGCUGCGUACGUAGAUUGCGCCAAUUUUUGGUUAAACGACAUUUCACUUUUUCUGUAAUAUAAUUAAAAGUGUCCUGACUCAUUCUCAUAUAUUGGAAGAAUCUUUCAUUAUCAUUCUUUAAAUUUGGAAAUAAAUGAUGGUAUUCCCCGUAAGUUUUUCUUUCACGAUUAAUAGAAUGAAUUCCAACUUUUUUUCUGUUUAGUUUGGUAAAAAUAAACUCCGUAGCAAUAAGAUCAUCAUCAGACGACGACAUCUUGCUAGCAGUUGUAAAACGAAACUGGCGAAUUUUAAAACGAAACUCGCUUUUACCCGUAUUAACUGUGUGUAAUCUCCGGCUUUGAGUACCGGAAGCGAGAAACUCGCGUCUACUCUGUGGGCACACUAACUCCUAUUCUAAUAGUAUGAUUUACAUGAUUUUUGUUUUAAAUUUAUUCUAGGACUCUUCUUAGCAUUUCUAUGAAAUUUUAUUUAAAGUCCAUGAAACACUUGAUUGCAAAUUAUGGAGUACUGGGCUUCGGGAGAUACAGGACUUUACACACAUAUACGCUGAGUGAAGCGGAUUUGUUGACGCUUUCACUGAAGUAGCUAGCUGAACCCUUUUCGCGAACGUAUUGAAUAGAAAUGAACAGGAGAAGCAUACAUCAAUCUUAGUGCAAAAGGCCAUCUGAGCAAGACCUCAUUGCACUACAUUUAUAUUAGAUAGGCUUAAUUCACGCGAUUUUAUAUUAUUUUCUUAUUUCCUAAUAGUGGACGUACC